CCUAUAUGAUGAAACUCUUUAAUUAACCUGACCAUCUGUGGAGGGUCAAAUCUGAUUUAAUGAGCCUGAUAG
Molecule: small nucleolar RNA, 72 nt
Organism: Actinia tenebrosa (Australian red waratah sea anemone)
Lineage: Eukaryota; Metazoa; Cnidaria; Anthozoa; Actiniaria; Actiniidae
Source: RefSeq, a predicted model, not a curated record